This 621-nucleotide ribosomal RNA is filed under the name Triticum aestivum (bread wheat). RNAcentral describes it as "partial small subunit ribosomal RNA". The record is from RNAcentral. Lineage: Eukaryota; Viridiplantae; Streptophyta; Magnoliopsida; Poales; Poaceae.
AUGGAGAUGCCGAGGUCGCCUGGAGCGGGCGCGUUCCGGUUUCUUGGCCUGCUCAAGCAGCCGGAGGCGGGCCACGACGGCGCUUGCUUCGAGCUGGACGAGAGCGACGUCAUGUGGCCGGCCGGCGGCGGGGACGUGGACGGGUGGGAGGCCGCGCCGGUGGCCGAGGCCGCAGUGGCCCCGCGGCGCGCUAGCGCGCGGCGCCGCUCGGCGCACGCCGUGCCACAGAGUUUCGGGCUGUCGUCGCUCCUCGCCGAGGGCGACGGCGGCAGCGUCGAGGGGCAGCAGCUGCCCGCGGGGAUGGCCCUGGCCGUGCCUUCGAGGCCGGGUCACGGCGCCGCGACACCGACACCGAGGCAGUCGGCGCCGGUGAGGGUGCCGGUGUGGCCGGGGCAGGCGGCCAGGCCCAGGGACAAGGCGAAGCGCGGCGCCAAGGAGGCAGAGGAGUCCGAGGAAGACGAGGAGGGCGGGGAGGAGAUGGUGCCGCCGCACGUGGUGGCGGCGCGGCGGCACGCGCGGUCGUCGUCGGUGCUGGAGGGCGCCGGGCGGACGCUCAAGGGGCGCGACCUCUGCCGCGUCCGCAACGCCGUGCUCCGCCAGACCGGCUUCCUCGACCUCUGA